AGGCUUAGAGAAAAUAAAUAGAGAAAGUGGAAAAAUGGAACCCGAGAUGCUGAGGCGUGGUAUGUUGGUCACUUUCCUUGAAGUAGAUUUCGCCGCCUUACAGUGCACUAGGCUUAGAUGGCGUUCUACUCCUGAGAUACAACAGCCUCUCGCACUGUUCCUUCUGCCUCAAUGAUUUGCACAGAUCAAAGAAGCCUGCAAACUCAGAAUCAGUAUGCAGCAAGCCCGUUGAUUGAAAGAAAAAUAGCAAACAGGGAGAAUAGAAGUUCUCUGUU
Molecule: long non-coding RNA, 275 nt
Filed under: Phoenix dactylifera (date palm)
Lineage: Eukaryota; Viridiplantae; Streptophyta; Magnoliopsida; Arecales; Arecaceae
Description: long non-coding RNA (PDAC_LNC005672)
Source: RNAcentral